Molecule: ribosomal RNA, 460 nt
Filed under: uncultured bacterium
Lineage: Bacteria
Description: partial 16S ribosomal RNA
Rfam family: Bacterial small subunit ribosomal RNA
Source: RNAcentral
CCUACGUGAGGCAGCAGUGAGGAAUAUUGGUCAAUGGGCGCGAGCCUGAACCAGCCAAGUAGCGUGAAGGAUGACUGCCCUACGGGUUGUAAACUUCUUUUAUAAAGGAAUAAAGUGAGGCACGUGUGCCUUUUUGUAUGUACUUUAUGAAUAAGGAUCGGCUAACUCCGUGCCAGCAGCCGCGGUAAUACGGAGGAUCCGAGCGUUAUCCGGAUUUAUUGGGUUUAAAGGGAGCGUAGAUGGGUUGUUAAGUCAGUUGUGAAAGUUUUCGGCUCAACCGUAAAAUUGCAAUUGAUACUGGCAGUCUUGAGUACAGUUGAGGUAGGCGGAAUUCGUGGUGUAGCGGUGAAAUGCUUAGAUAUCACGAAGAACUCCGAUUGCGAAGGCAGCUUACUAAACUGCCACUGACAUUGAUGCUCGAAAGUGUGGGUAUCAAACAGGAUUAGAUACCCUAGUAGUC